This 366-nucleotide ribosomal RNA is filed under the name Escherichia coli. RNAcentral's name for it is "partial 23S ribosomal RNA". It matches the Rfam family "Bacterial large subunit ribosomal RNA", at positions 2433 to 2798 of the family's 2925-position model. The record is from RNAcentral. Lineage: Bacteria; Pseudomonadati; Pseudomonadota; Gammaproteobacteria; Enterobacterales; Enterobacteriaceae.
AUGGAAGGGCCAUCGCUCAACGGAUAAAAGGUACUCCGGGGAUAACAGGCUGAUACCGCCCAAGAGUUCAUAUCGACGGCGGUGUUUGGCACCUCGAUGUCGGCUCAUCACAUCCUGGGGCUGAAGUAGGUCCCAAGGGUAUGGCUGUUCGCCAUUUAAAGUGGUACGCGAGCUGGGUUUAGAACGUCGUGAGACAGUUCGGUCCCUAUCUGCCGUGGGCGCUGGAGAACUGAGGGGGGCUGCUCCUAGUACGAGAGGACCGGAGUGGACGCAUCACUGGUGUUCGGGUUGUCAUGCCAAUGGCACUGCCCGGUAGCUAAAUGCGGAAGAGAUAAGUGCUGAAAGCAUCUAAGCACGAAACUUGCC